CAGCCGCCGCGGUAAAACGAAGGGGGCUAGCGUUGUUCGGAAUUACUGGGCGUAAAGCGCACGUAGGCGGAUAUUUAAGUCAGGGGUGAAAUCCCAGAGCUCAACUCUGGAACUGCCUUUGAUACUGGGUAUCUUGAGUAUGGAAGAGGUGAGUGGAAUUCCGAGUGUAGAGGUGAAAUUCGUAGAUAUUCGGAGGAACACCAGUGGCGAAGGCGGCUCACUGGUCCAUUACUGACGCUGAGGUGCGAAAGCGUGGGGAGCAAACAGGAUUAGAUACCCCCGUAGUCCCUGUCUCUUAUAC
Molecule: ribosomal RNA, 301 nt
Filed under: uncultured bacterium
Lineage: Bacteria
Description: partial 16S ribosomal RNA
Rfam family: Bacterial small subunit ribosomal RNA
Source: RNAcentral